GAACGCACCUUGCGCCCUUUGGCCAUUCCGAAGGGCAUGCCUGUUUGAGUAUCAUGAAAAUAUCAACCUUGACUUGGGUUUUGUGCUCUAGUCUCGGCUUGGAAUUGGGUGCUUGCCGCUUUUACGAGCGGCUCACCUUAAAUGUAUUAGCUGGAUCUGUCUUUGAGACUUGGUUUGACUUGGCGUAAUAAGUAUUUCGCUAAGGACAUUCUUCGGAGUGGCCUCGUUUCUAGGACGCUUGUCCGCUUUCCAAUACAAGUUCCACCUCGUGGACAUGACUUUUUAUUAUCUGGCCUCAAAUCAGGUAGGACUACCCGCUGAACUUAAG
RNAcentral lists this unclassified non-coding RNA (328 nucleotides) under Solicoccozyma fuscescens. RNAcentral describes it as "sequence contains 5.8S rRNA gene". The record is from RNAcentral. Lineage: Eukaryota; Fungi; Basidiomycota; Tremellomycetes; Filobasidiales; Piskurozymaceae.